UACAGAGGUGGCAAGCGUUGUUCGGAAUUACUGGGCGUAAAGGGCGCGUAGGCGGUUGGAUAAGUCAGCUGUGAAAACCACGGGCUUAACUCGUGGCCUGCAGUUGAGACUGUCUGGCUUGAGUGUGGGAGAGGAGAGUGGAAUUCCUGGUGUAGCGGUGAAAUGCGUAGAUAUCAGGAGGAACACCGGUGGCGAAGGCGGCUCUCUGGACCACAACUGACGCUGAGGCGCGAAAGCUAGGGGAGCAAACAGG
Molecule: ribosomal RNA, 253 nt
Filed under: uncultured bacterium
Lineage: Bacteria
Description: partial 16S ribosomal RNA
Rfam family: Bacterial small subunit ribosomal RNA
Source: RNAcentral